This 1667-nucleotide unclassified non-coding RNA is filed under the name Hevea brasiliensis (rubber tree). Lineage: Eukaryota; Viridiplantae; Streptophyta; Magnoliopsida; Malpighiales; Euphorbiaceae. The record is from RNAcentral.
AUAUAUAUAUAUAUAUAUAGCUUUUGAUUUAUGCUACUGACCGAGUAGCACAGACUUAUGUGCAUCUCACCAUAAUUUCAGUUCCUAAUGUCUUCUUUCAUAGCAUGGUAUUGCUUCCUUCCUUCCAAGACAUGACAAAGGUUGCCCCUUUGCACACCCAUUCUUGGGAUGCAACCCCCAAAGAGGCGCUCAUUAUGUGGUCCUGUGCCUAAUUCCCAUUUCAUGGGCUUGCUCAAUAAUAUAAAAAGCUGAGCCGACAUUCUCUUUGUGUAGUACCAGAAAGAAGGUAGAAGGGUUAAUUAGAGAGGAAGAUAACAGCUAUGCCUCCAAUUUAAUAGCUGUAUCAACGGCAUCCACAAUAUUAUUUGCUGUGCCCAUAACUGUGCAUAUCUUCCUGCCUCGGUCAGUAGAACUUCAUGGGGUCCUUGCUCAACCACAUUCCCAUUCUCCAGAACUAUUAGCUGAAAAGCAUAUUCAAAGUAUUGGAAGAAUGUCAAAUAUGUAGUUAAGAGAACAAACAAAAGAAAGAUGCUAAGGUGCACAGAUGGCAAUAAAAUCUAUUGUUAAAUUGAAUAGAUUGUUUGGUGUUGGAGCAUCCAACCAAAAACUUAAGCUAGUAGGAGAACAAUCCUACACUAUACAGCAAAAAUAGUCUCAUACAGACCUUUCUUUAUCAUUUAUGCUUGCAAAACUCAAAAUUUUUCCUAAGAUGUGGCUGGCCUACAGAUAAAAGUAGAAGCAGAGAUAUUUACCAACUAAAUAGUGAUGCAAUUUGGAAGCAUGGCAUCUAAAAGUGGGUGAACAUAUUCAUUUUGAACAAAGGAAACAUCCAAAGUUGUACAAACUAUCGUGGUAUUAAACUGAUGUGUCACACGAUAAUGUUAUGGGAAAGAGUAAUUGAGUGCAGACUAAGUGACAUUAUUAAGGUAUCGAAGGGAGAACCAGUUUGGCUUUAUGCCUUUUAGGUCUACAACAAAGCUUAUGUUUUAAGUAAUAAGAUUAAUGGAAAUAUAUAGGGAAAGGAAAAAGGAUCUCCAGGUAUUUAUUGAAUUACAAAAGGCAUAUGAUAGGGUAUCGAGAAAAGUCCUUUGGUGGGUGUUAGAGAAGAAAAUAGUUAAUCUUAAGUAUAUAAAUGUCAUUAAGGCCAUGUAUGAGGAGGCGGCCACAAGUGUAAGGACAAUGGGGAGGGACACAAACGAGUUUCCCAUAACAAUGGGUUUACACUAAGGAUCGGCUUUAAGUCCGUACCUGUUUACCUUAGUUAUGGAUGAGCUUACCAAUCAUAUUCAAGAUGGUGUCUCUUGGUGCAUGUUAUUUGCAAAUGAUAUUAUAUUAGUGGAUGAAACUAGUGAAAAAGUUAUCAAAAGUUGGAGUUGUGGAGGACUCUUGAGAGCGAUAGUUUUAAGUUAAGUAAAUGCAAGACGGAAUGCAUGUAAUAUGAGUUUAGCUCUCAUAAAAUGAAUGGAAGUGAGAUUCGUUUGGAUGAAGUUUUGAUUCCAAAAUGCAAUCAAUUUAAAUACCUAGUUCUAUCAUACAGAAGAAUAAAGUUCUAGAUGAGGAUGUAACUUAUAGGAUCAAUAUAGAAUAGAUGAAAUGGAGGAGUACGAUGAGUGUAUCAUAUAAUCGAAAGAUCCCUAAUAAAGUAAAAGGUAAGUUGAUAUGAACCU